RNAcentral lists this ribosomal RNA (2110 nucleotides) under Salmonella enterica. RNAcentral describes it as "partial 23S ribosomal RNA". It matches the Rfam family "Bacterial large subunit ribosomal RNA", at positions 711 to 2802 of the family's 2925-position model. The record is from RNAcentral. Lineage: Bacteria; Pseudomonadati; Pseudomonadota; Gammaproteobacteria; Enterobacterales; Enterobacteriaceae.
AGACCCGAAACCCGGUGAUCUAGCCAUGGGCAGGUUGAAGGUUGGGUAACACUAACUGGAGGACCGAACCGACUAAUGUUGAAAAAUUAGCGGAUGACCUGUGGCUGGGGGUGAAAGGCCAAUCAAACCGGGAGAUAGCUGGUUCUCCCCGAAAGCUAUUUAGGUAGCGCCUCGUGAAUUCAUCUCCGGGGGUAGAGCACUGUUUCGGCUAGGGGGCCAUCCCGGCUUACCAACCCGAUGCAAACUGCGAAUACCGGAGAAUGUUAUCACGGGAGACACACGGCGGGUGCUAACGUCCGUCGUGAAGAGGGAAACAACCCAGACCGCCAGCUAAGGUCCCAAAGUCAUGGUUAAGUGGGAAACGAUGUGGGAAGGCCCAGACAGCCAGGAUGUUGGCUUAGAAGCAGCCAUCAUUUAAAGAAAGCGUAAUAGCUCACUGGUCGAGUCGGCCUGCGCGGAAGAUGUAACGGGGCUAAACCAUGCACCGAAGCUGCGGCAGCGACACUAUGUGUUGUUGGGUAGGGGAGCGUUCUGUAAGCCUGUGAAGGUGGCCUGUGAGGGUUGCUGGAGGUAUCAGAAGUGCGAAUGCUGACAUAAGUAACGAUAAAGCGGGUGAAAAGCCCGCUCGCCGGAAGACCAAGGGUUCCUGUCCAACGUUAAUCGGGGCAGGGUGAGUCGACCCCUAAGGCGAGGCCGAAAGGCGUAGUCGAUGGGAAACGGGUUAAUAUUCCCGUACUUGGUGUUACUGCGAAGGGGGGACGGAGAAGGCUAUGUUGGCCGGGCGACGGUUGUCCCGGUUUAAGCGUGUAGGUGUGUGUUCCAGGUAAAUCCGGUUCACUUUAACACUGAGGCGUGACGACGAGGCACUACGGUGCUGAAGCAACAAAUGCCCUGCUUCCAGGAAAAGCCUCUAAGCAUCAGGUAACAUCAAAUCGUACCCCAAACCGACACAGGUGGUCAGGUAGAGAAUACCAAGGCGCUUGAGAGAACUCGGGUGAAGGAACUAGGCAAAAUGGUGCCGUAACUUCGGGAGAAGGCACGCUGACAUGUAGGUGAAGUGAUUUACUCAUGGAGCUGAAGUCAGUCGAAGAUACCAGCUGGCUGCAACUGUUUAUUAAAAACACAGCACUGUGCAAACACGAAAGUGGACGUAUACGGUGUGACGCCUGCCCGGUGCCGGAAGGUUAAUUGAUGGGGUCAGCGCAAGCGAAGCUCCUGAUCGAAGCCCCGGUAAACGGCGGCCGUAACUAUAACGGUCCUAAGGUAGCGAAAUUCCUUGUCGGGUAAGUUCCGACCUGCACGAAUGGCGUAAUGAUGGCCAGGCUGUCUCCACCCGAGACUCAGUGAAAUUGAACUCGCUGUGAAGAUGCAGUGUACCCGCGGCAAGACGGAAAGACCCCGUGAACCUUUACUAUAGCUUGACACUGAACAUUGAGCCUUGAUGUGUAGGAUAGGUGGGAGGCUUUGAAGUGUGGACGCCAGUCUGCAUGGAGCCGACCUUGAAAUACCACCCUUUAAUGUUUGAUGUUCUAACGUGGACCCGUAAUCCGGGUUGCGGACAGUGUCUGGUGGGUAGUUUGACUGGGGCGGUCUCCUCCUAAAGAGUAACGGAGGAGCACGAAGGUUGGCUAAUCCUGGUCGGACAUCAGGAGGUUAGUGCAAUGGCAUAAGCCAGCUUGACUGCGAGCGUGACGGCGCGAGCAGGUGCGAAAGCAGGUCAUAGUGAUCCGGUGGUUCUGAAUGGAAGGGCCAUCGCUCAACGGAUAAAAGGUACUCCGGGGAUAACAGGCUGAUACCGCCCAAGAGUUCAUAUCGACGGCGGUGUUUGGCACCUCGAUGUCGGCUCAUCACAUCCUGGGGCUGAAGUAGGUCCCAAGGGUAUGGCUGUUCGCCAUUUAAAGUGGUACGCGAGCUGGGUUUAGAACGUCGUGAGACAGUUCGGUCCCUAUCUGCCGUGGGCGCUGGAGAACUGAGGGGGGCUGCUCCUAGUACGAGAGGACCGGAGUGGACGCAUCACUGGUGUUCGGGUUGUCAUGCCAAUGGCACUGCCCGGUAGCUAAAUGCGGAAGAGAUAAGUGCUGAAAGCAUCUAAGCACGAAACUUGCCCCGA